GCAGGGACAGACCCUGGCAUGCAGUAGACACAAUAAACGUGUGUAGAGAAUGGACGGAAUGAGACCUUGGCUUCCUGCAAAGGCUACACAGCAGGUGCCACCAAACUUUGGAAGAGGGCAGCUUUCCCCAGUGAUCCCGCACGCGUUUCUUCUCUUCCGAUGUCAUUGCUGGCCUCUGUGGUGGGCUGCUGACUGUUAACACGUCUCUGCUUCCGUGCUAACGAUCAUCGUGGUGUCAGCUGGUCCCAGUUCAAUGAAAGCCAGGAUGUCCAGUUUCUUGCAUUCAAGCACCAGCCAAGCUCGGGUCUUGUGAAGGGUGUGGAAGAGUCUCCGGCAGAGUGGACAUAGACGCAGAGCUGUCAGGCCCCAGGGCUUGCGGGGCUGCCCUAGAGCGUCAACAGGAGGGAGAAGGCGGCAGGAGGGUCAUCGGUCUCCAGGGAGAGAACUCUCAGGCCUGGGCCCCGGGGACCUGUGCUUGGCUGUCUGACAGCCCAGACAUCUGUUGGGGCUGCUGCACAGCCGUUGUUAGUUCUGGUCAGGGGCCUGACUCACAGCAAGCUCCUAGGUCUCCAAAAAUAGGGCCUGGAUUUGAUCUGCGAUUUGCAGCCUUUUUUAAAAAAGUUUUUUUUAAACAGAGAACUACCUUUUAAACAAAGUUUUACAAGGAACCCCAGUUUUAAAAACAAUCCACAGCAGAACUAUUUUGGUUGAAGCGGGGCAGGGACUGGAGUCUCAAAAUGCCCUUGUUUGGCCUCUCUGUGUUUACUUUUCUUUGGUAAAGUAAAGCUGCCCUCCCUGGCA
Non-coding RNA from Microcebus murinus (gray mouse lemur), 801 nucleotides. NCBI's taxonomy places the organism in Eukaryota, Metazoa, Chordata, Mammalia, Primates, Cheirogaleidae. The record is from RefSeq and is a predicted model, not a curated record.